AGAUGAAGGAUGAAAUGGAAGAUUCGAUUGCCGAUCUUUCUGCUUUGAUUCUGUGGUGAAAACCGUUUUGUUCUGAAAACAAAGCUACAGCUCUUCUAAUGACCUCCUGUGGCAAUUCAUUCACCAGGCUGAUUAAUGGCUGCAGAGCUGGUAUGCUCCAGUGGAAGCUAGGAAUGAAGGUUUUAGACUUCAUGUCGGCUGUCUUCUUGUUUGGGAUAAGUCUCCUUCUGUGUUCCUGCUGCUGCUUUCCUUAGUUUAGUCCUCAGUGAAAUGUGGAGACUCUUCCCACCACCUAACUGUUUCCUAAGCAGCAUUUUACUCUUUCUCUUAUGACAUGGAAAUAACACACUGACAUCAACUAGACACAUGUUUAUAUUUUUAUAAGGUGAUAUAAAUGAAACUGGGAUGGAUAUUUAGAAUUUAGACAUGAUGUAGUGGAAAGAAUACUAGAUUUGGGUUUAACGGCCCUGUGUUCAAGUUCAGGCUCUGCUAUUUGCUCUCCGUGACCUUUGGCACAUUAUUAAGCCUCUCUUCCCAUAAGUUUCUUCAACUGUAAAUGAAAGGAUUGAACUAAAUCAGUGGUUUGUGCCAUGGAUUCCUUUGACAGGCUAGUUAAGCCUCUAGAGGCCUUCUCAGAAUAAUGUUUUUAAAUGCAUAAAAUAAAAUGCAUAGGAUCAUAAA
This is a long non-coding RNA of Vombatus ursinus (common wombat), 681 nucleotides long. RefSeq lists it as uncharacterized. Lineage: Eukaryota; Metazoa; Chordata; Mammalia; Diprotodontia; Vombatidae. The record is from RefSeq and is a predicted model, not a curated record. The transcript is spliced from 2 exons.